This 2263-nucleotide ribosomal RNA is filed under the name bioreactor metagenome. Its description in RNAcentral is "bacterial LSU rRNA". It matches the Rfam family "Bacterial large subunit ribosomal RNA", at positions 1 to 2317 of the family's 2925-position model. The record is from RNAcentral.
UUAAGAAAGAAAGAGUGCACGGUGGAUGCCUAGGCACUAGGAGCCGAAGAAGGACGCGACGAACAGCGAAAUGCUACGGGGAGUUGUAAGUAAACUAAGAUCCGUAGAUAUCCGAAUGAGGAAACUCACUAGCAAGAAGAGCUAGUACCAGAUGGUGAAUACAUAGCCAAUCUGGAGGGAGACCCAGAGAACUGAAACAUCUUAGUAUCUGGAGGAAAAGAAAGCAAUUAGCGAUUCCCUAAGUAGAGGCGAUUGAACGGGGAACAGCCCGUUACGAUAAGGAGUUAAAAAAUAUUAAUAUAGUUGAACUAUCUUGGAAUAAUAGACGAAACAAGGUGAAAGUCCUGUAGACGAAAUGUUAAUAUCUCCAGUAACAAAGAGUAGGGCGGGGCACGUGGAAUCCUGUCCGAACAAAGCGAGGACCAUCUCGUAAGGCUAAAUACUACCUAGUGACCGAUAGUGAACCAGUACCGUGAGGGAAAGGUGAAAAGAACCCCGGAAGGGGAGUGAAAGAGAACCUGAAACCGUGUGCCUACAACUAGUCAGAGCCCGUUAAUGGGUGAUGGCGUGCCUUUUGUAGAAUGAACCGGCGAGUUACGAUAAUUUGCAAGGUUAAGCUUUAAGGAGCGGAGCCGAAGCGAAAGCGAGUCUUAAGAGGGCGAGUUAGUAGAUUGUCGUAGACCCGAAACCGAGUGAUCUAGCCAUGUGCAGGUUGAAGCUUGGGUAAAACCAGGUGGAGGACCGAACCAGGGUCUGUUGCAAUAGACUUGGAUGACGUGUGGCUAGGGGUGAAAUUCCAAUCGAACUCGGAAAUAGCUGGUUCUCCCCGAAAUAGCUUUAGGGCUAGCGUUGUAAUGAAAAUUUUAUGGAGGUAGAGCACUGAAUGUGUGAUGGUCUCACCUCGAGAUACUGAUCUCAAUUAAACUUCGAAUGCCAUAAAAUAUGUACAGCAGUCAGACUGCGAGUGAUAAGGCCCGUAGUCAAAAGGGAAACAGCCCAGACCGCCAGUUAAGGUCCCGAAAUCUAUGCUAAGUGGGAAAGGAAGUGGAGUCGUAGAGACAACUAGGAGGUUGGCUUAGAAGCAGCCAUCCUUUAAAGAGUGCGUAAUAGCUCACUAGUCGAAUGAUUCUGCGCCGAAAAUGUAACGGGGCUAAGCAUAGUACCGAAGCUGCGGAAUUUAUAGUAAUAUAAAUUGGUAGGGGAGCGUACUUAGUGCAGAGAAGUUAGACCGGAAGGACUAAUGGAGCGCUAAGCAGUGAGAAUGCCGGUGUGAGUAACGAAAAGAUAGGUGAGAAUCCUAUCCGUCGAAAGCCUAAGGUUUCCAGGGGAAGGCUCGUCCGCCCUGGGUAAGUCGGGUCCUAAGGUGAGGCUGAAGAGCGUAGCCGAUGGACAACAGGUUGAGAUUCCUGUACCACCUAAUUAACUGAAGGAGUGACGGAGAAGGCUAACCAGAGCUAAUUAGUGGAUUUUAGUUUAAGCACAAAGGUGGGCAUAUAGGUAAACCCGUAUGCUAAUAAACAUUGAAGUGUGAAGACGCAAGUCUGGUGAAGCCACGCUUCCAAGAAAAGUUUCUAAGGCUAAUUAAUUAGGUGCCCGUACCGUAAACGGACACACGUAGGCGAGGAGAGAAUCCAAAGACGCGCGAGAUAACUCUUGUUAAGGAACUCUGCAAAAUUACCCCGUAACUUCGGAAUAAGGGGGACUCAUUAGUGAUAAUGAGUCGCAGAUAAUAGGCCCAAGCGACUGUUUACCAAAAACAUAGGUCUCUGCUAAACCGCAAGGUGAAGUAUAGGGGCUGACGCCUGCCCAGUGCUGGAAGGUUAAGAGGAGGAGUUAGGAGCAAUCCGAAGCUUUGAAUUGAAGCCCCAGUAAACGGCGGCCGUAACUAUAACGGUCCUAAGGUAGCGAAAUUCCUUGUCGGGUAAGUUCCGACCCGCACGAAAGGCGUAACGAUUUGGGCGCUGUCUCAACUCGAGACUCGGUGAAAUCAUACUACCUGUGAAGAUGCAGGUUACCCGCGACUAGACGGAAAGACCCCAUGGAGCUUCACUGCAACUUGAUAUUGGUAUUGGGUAUUGGAUGUACAGGAUAGGUGGGAGACGAAGAGACCGGGACGCUAGUUUCGGAAGAGUCACCGUUGGGAUACCACCCUUUUAAUAUUUAGUAUCUAACUAGUAGUCAAAAGCGGGCUAUAGAACAGUGUCAGGUGGGCAGUUUGACUGGGGCGGUCGCCUCCUAAAGAGUAACGGAGGCGCCCAAAGGU